UCCUUUUCGCUCUAAUAAUGAAAAUGAGACCUUCAUACAUCAUUUUCCUGUGUCUUCUCACCGCUGCUCCGUGUCUUCUUUCCACAAGUGUUAUCAGCUCUUCUAAUUCUCCAGUCCCAGUUUCUCUCCUAGGAAGGCGAACCAUGAGAGAUUUGAGCAUGUCGUCCUCCAGCCAACAAGAUGCACAUCACAAGAUCAAGGUGGGAAUAUAUAAUGGAUCCAUCCCCUUACUCUUAUCAUUUACCAUAAAAUUCUAGUUUGGGAAUCUGAAGUCUAGUUCUAUGUUGCAGGUUCAUGAAGAAAUGGAGAGAUAUUCAAACCAGCCUGGUUCGUUUUCAAAUGAGUUUGCGAGUGUGUACAAUGAACCAGAGCUUGUCUACCACAUUGAUUAUCAUGGGGUGACAACUCAUCCAAAUGGACCAAAUCCAAGCCCCAAACAUCCAAAACCAUAGGCUAUGUUUGGAUAUGCAAACUACAAAGACAUGCUCUGGAUAGGAUAAAAUAUGCUAGCCCCUGUUGCCCUUUCCAGGG
This 531-nucleotide long non-coding RNA is filed under the name Panax ginseng (ginseng). RNAcentral's name for it is "long non-coding RNA (PGIN_LNC003438)". Lineage: Eukaryota; Viridiplantae; Streptophyta; Magnoliopsida; Apiales; Araliaceae. The record is from RNAcentral.